GACGAACGCUGGCGGCGUGCUUAACACAUGCAAGUCGAGCGGUAAGGCCCCAGCUUGCUGGGGUACACGAGUGGCGAACGGGUGAGUAACACGUGGGUGACCUGCCCCGCACUUCGGGAUAAGCCUGGGAAACUGGGUCUAAUACCGGAUAGGACCGCACCGUGAGGGUGUGGUGGAAAGUUUUUCGGUGUGGGAUGGGCCCGCGGCCUAUCAGCUUGUUGGUGGGGUAAUGGCCUACCAAGGCGGCGACGGGUAGCCGGCCUGAGAGGGUGGACGGCCACAUUGGGACUGAGACACGGCCCAGACUCCUACGGGAGGCAGCAGUGGGGAAUAUUGCACAAUGGGCGGAAGCCUGAUGCAGCGACGCCGCGUGGGGGAUGACGGCCUUCGGGUUGUAAACUCCUUUCACCAUCGACGAAGGUUUUCUGACGGUAGAUGGAGAAGAAGCACCGGCUAACUACGUG
RNAcentral lists this ribosomal RNA (464 nucleotides) under uncultured bacterium. RNAcentral describes it as "partial 16S ribosomal RNA". It matches the Rfam family "Bacterial small subunit ribosomal RNA", at positions 28 to 507 of the family's 1533-position model. The record is from RNAcentral.